This 411-nucleotide ribosomal RNA is filed under the name uncultured soil bacterium. Its description in RNAcentral is "bacterial SSU rRNA". It matches the Rfam family "Bacterial small subunit ribosomal RNA", at positions 26 to 426 of the family's 1533-position model. The record is from RNAcentral.
AGAUUGAACGCUGGCGGCAGGCCUAACACAUGCAAGUCGAGCGGCAGCACGGGUACUUGUACCUGGUGGCGAGCGGCGGACGGGUGAGUAAUGCCUAGGAAUCUGCCUGGUAGUGGGGGAUAACGCUCGGAAACGGACGCUAAUACCGCAUACGUCCUACGGGAGAAAGCAGGGGACCUUCGGGCCUUGCGCUAUCAGAUGAGCCUAGGUCGGAUUAGCUAGUUGGUGAGGUAAUGGCUCACCAAGGCGACGAUCCGUAACUGGUCUGAGAGGAUGAUCAGUCACACUGGAACUGAGACACGGUCCAGACCUCCGUACGGGAGCAGCAGGUGGGAAUAGUUGGACAAGUGGGGACGAAAGCCCUAGACUCCGAAGCCAUCGGCCGCGGUGUGGUGAAGUAGGUCGUUACGG